UAGUCAUGUUUUUAUUUGCUGAGAGUCUUAUUCGAAAUAGGAGAAUCUAAAUCAGAUCUGAUUCAAACAUUGAAUCAAAAUGGUGAGUUAAUUGGUUGAAGGAUUGCGAGGGAAUUGCUAGACGCACUCGCACUUCCCUCGCAAAUAUUACCCUAAACCCUAAAUUAUUAAAAAUCAUAAGUUGCGAGGGACUUGCGAGGAGUUUUCGCUAUUCCCUCGCAAUAUGUAGUGCGUUUUAAUUGGUUUAAAAAUCUUCCUCGCAAUUUCAAAGCAAACUACGCGAGGGUUUUGCGAGGAAAUAAAUUCCUAUAUAUACUCGAAGACCUAGUUUGAGCUCCGCUCAAACCAGCCGCAUCAAACCCUAACCCUAAAAAUUUUCUUCGAUUCUCUUCUUCUUCUCUGAUCUCUUCGGCGCCGGAUCUCUUCUUCUCCGAUCUAAUUCCGUCGCCGCCUCUCUUCUUCUUCUUCUCUAAUCUGUUAUACUCAUCGCCGCCUCUCUUCUUCUCCGAUAUAAUUACGGCGCAGACUCUCUUCGCCGCCUCUCUUCUUCUUUGAUCUGUGCUCCAGAACCGCCGCGUCUCUUCUUCUCCGACUCGAUAUGUUUUGCCUCAAAGGUAACCUCUGUUUCUCCGAUCUAAGUUCUUCUCUCAAAUCUAACUUAUUCUUCUUCUCCGAUCUUACUUCUUUUUCCCAGAUCUAACUCUUGAUUUGUUUUUUGUGCAAGAUGCCGUCGGAUAAUACUUAUGUACGGUUUAGACAACAGCAGCGUGACCCGUUGCAUGUCAAUUCUCUUUUUA
RNAcentral lists this small RNA (797 nucleotides) under Arabidopsis thaliana (thale cress). RNAcentral describes it as "ATSL041990". The record is from RNAcentral. Lineage: Eukaryota; Viridiplantae; Streptophyta; Magnoliopsida; Brassicales; Brassicaceae.